ACCAAACGCGGCUCUGGCCGGCUCUUGACUGAUAAUAGAGCGGACCGUGUAACGAUAUAACGGGGCGCCGACGUACAGUAAAACAACGCCCGACGGCGCAGGCAGGCGGUGCACAGAGGAACAGAAUAAAAUGGGGAGGAAGGGAUAUGUGUCCCCACCGACGACUGACAGAGUGCAACCGGAGGGUUGUGAACCUCUUCCGACUUUCAUGUGAUCUCUCUCUCUCUUUCCCUCUCUCUCUCUCUUUUUAUACUCAAGUAGAAAAAGAGGGUGACUACUAUACUGCAUCCAAAUGAGAGAGGGGAGAACGUGCAGAGAUUCACGUCCCCCCUUACUUUUCGUGAGUCAAAAAUAGGUUUUAGACGAAAGGCCAGCAGAAAAACGAAGCACUUUUUCCUUCGUGCUUUAAACUGAUCGAAUGUGUCUCUCCUCGUCUUUCCCCCCUCAGCUGGUUCAGCUGGGAAGACACCUACACAGCUUUGACUUCUGCCCCAAAAUGGUUUCUUGUGUACAGUUCAAGUAGCAACAGAAAAUCAGUCCAAAAAGGACUUUAGUUGUUUCCAACCAUUCGACAGCUCUAAACUACGUCGUUAAAUUAUCCACAAAUCAUUAUUGUUAGUGAAACGGACGCUCUUUCAUUUUACACGGAUAUCUCGAAACUAUGCGAAAUUGAGGCUCUGUCACAGGGACCUGCCAGUGGCUUCGUGUUGUAUCUACGUGCGAGCAGCACGUCGUACAACUUUUUUCCGAUAACGUAAGCUCGUCAUACGAGACACACGUUAGGUUAUUUAUAAACUCGGCCAUGGAAAUAUUUUCUUGUUUUAGUUCUUUUUCAUUCUUUUUGGUUGGCGUUCAUCGCGUUACUUGUUGGCCUGGUUCGAACCACAGAUGAGGAACAAAAGAACGAGAAGCAACGGCUUAAAAAGAAUUGAGCAAAACAAUAACAAGAACAACACGGCUGGCUGCUGGGUUUUGUUUAUCCUCUGUCAAGACUCGAUCCAUCACAGUUUCCGUCUCCACUAUUUUCCCAACUUGCAUCGCAGAAAAUGGAAUGUACUAUGGCAAAGAUUGGAGAGCCGAUCAAUUUUUGUUUGCAUUUAACAGCAUCCAGUUUCUUUCUUUAAUCGGUUGCUACAUUGAAAGAAAGAUUUUUCGGUUGACCUCCCAGAUACGGGAACUGGUAAAGAUAACAAAGAAAAAGAACAUGGAGCUUACAAGAUGGAAGGUUUGUCGCUGUUGGUUUGUUCCAUGGACGAUUGGAGAGGAACCAAAUCAACGACAGAAGCAUCACGAACCGGUGGUCAAUCGACUAUUGAGUUUGCACACUGCCAAUGCAUACAACUGUACUCCAAUUGCCAUUACCGAAUUGCUACGGCUCUACGAUAACUACAACCUACGGAACUACAAAAGAACUACAACGACAACAAAUGUGGACGCUUUAGCAAGGCCAGUAAUCAAUAGGCGCUAAAUUUGCAAACACUCAACAACGACGAAGAAGAGAAACAAAGUGAAGCCUUUGCGAAACUGGCAGCUGUGCAGGAACGUGAGCGCUUUGGCGCAUCGACGAAAGGCGCGACCGCUUGUUUUUCGCUUAUUUUAUUAACGCCUUUUUCUUACUGGCUAGCUAUAAAUAAUUAAGGAGGAGAGAAAAUGAGAGAGAGAGAGAGGGAAAGUCGUGGAUGCGGCGGAAGAGACGGGUGGCCGCCAGCUGCUAGGGCGGGUCCAGUUUAGAUAUCGGAGCGUUUCGACCGACAUUCUUUGGCAAAACUAUGAUGUCAAUCGGCGUCGAGCAAGAGGCUCCGUUUGACACGGUAUUCCUUGCGAUCGGCAGUUGUGAAAAUGACGAAUUGAACCGGAACGGAAGAGUUGACAGAAUUUUUUUAGACGGACAUACCGGCAGAUGCAGAAGAAGAAGUCCAGGACGAAAGCUGUGGCGGUGAUUCAAGCUGGUAGUCGUCCUCGUCGUCGGCCAUCUUUGACGUUCACCACAGCAGCACAGUAGCCGUGUAGCUAUAGCUGCGCUGAUUCGAGGAUCCUCCUAAAAAUUCCCCAGCUGGGAUUCUUGUCGGUAUCUCGCAUUGAGUGGCGAUGUGAGUUACGAUAAAGCAAACCGCCUCGAAAAGUGAUGUCACUAACAGUUCGUACACAGGUAGAAUUCCAGCUGUAUAUUUACAAUCUAUUUUGAUCGAAACGCUGGUGAAGAUAAGGUAUCGUGGAACUCGCCGAACUUUCCAAGACGCUUUGAGUGUAUACAAUCCCGUCAUUACAACAGAACUUUCUACUGUAUUGAUCACGUUACAACGCGCAUGAUCCGAAUAAAACACAUCCGUCAGA
Daphnia magna is the source of this 2334-nucleotide long non-coding RNA. RefSeq lists it as uncharacterized. The record is from RefSeq and is a predicted model, not a curated record. NCBI's taxonomy places the organism in Eukaryota, Metazoa, Arthropoda, Branchiopoda, Diplostraca, Daphniidae. The transcript has 4 exons.